CGGCGCGUGGUGGAAUUGGUAUACACAACAGACUUAAAAUCUGUCCCCAUUUAUGGGUUGUCGGUUCGAGUCCGACCGCGCCGACCA
Molecule: transfer RNA, 87 nt
Filed under: Rhodospirillaceae bacterium
Lineage: Bacteria; Pseudomonadati; Pseudomonadota; Alphaproteobacteria; Rhodospirillales; Rhodospirillaceae
Description: tRNA-Leu
Rfam family: tRNA
About the family: Transfer RNA (tRNA) molecules are approximately 80 nucleotides in length. Their secondary structure includes four short double-helical elements and three loops (D, anti-codon, and T loops).
Source: RNAcentral